Molecule: ribosomal RNA, 328 nt
Filed under: uncultured eukaryote
Lineage: Eukaryota
Description: partial 18S ribosomal RNA
Rfam family: Eukaryotic small subunit ribosomal RNA
Source: RNAcentral
CCCUUAGAUGUUCUGGGCCGCACGCGCGCUACACUGACACACUCAACAAGCUUAUAACCUUGUCCGAGAGGUCUGGGAAAUCUUUGAAUAUGUGCCGUGAUGGGGAUAGAUCGUUGCAAUUCUCGAUCUUCAACGAGGAAUUCCUAGUAAACGCAGUUCAUCAGACUGCAUUGAUUACGUCCCUGCCCUUUGUACACACCGCCCGUCGCACCUACCGAUUGAAUGGUCCGGUGAGAAUUUUGGAUUGAUGUUUCGUCGGGUUAACGCCAGACUUUACGUUGAGAAGUUAUUCAAACCUUACCAUUUAGAGGAAGGUGAAGUCGUAACA